ACGUCAUGAAUUGGUAAUUUUUUUAUAAUUUAUAUCUAAUAUUUUUAUAUAUUAAUGAAUUAUGUGAAUAUAAAUGCAACAAGGAAGGAGUGAAGUCGAAGCUUGGUCAGAAACUUUACAAAUGACAUAUAAGGAAAGCAAUAAAGUUGUAAGUCUUUUUUUAAAAUUAUUUAUAUUUUAUAAUUCUAUUAUCAUUGUUUGAUUUUGUUAUUCUUUCAGCUUGAAGCCACGGAAUUUAUCAAAAGUCAAGAGGCAAAAUCGUGGGCUGAAUCUGAAAUAAUGACUCCAUUUGUAAGUUCCAUUGAUUAUUUUAAAUAUAUUUCGCAUUUCUUAUUUUUUUUUUUUUAUAAUGCAGCAAUUUAUCGAAGCGACGGUCAACAAGACUUUCGGAAAAAAUAAGAAGAAUAGAAUAAUAGGAAUUGGAGAAGCUGCCAGUAUAGUGAGCACAACGAACGAAAGAUGGACUUCUCCAAAUUGGAAAGGAAAAGAG
RNAcentral lists this long non-coding RNA (490 nucleotides) under Zostera marina. RNAcentral describes it as "long non-coding RNA (ZMAR_LNC003339)". Lineage: Eukaryota; Viridiplantae; Streptophyta; Magnoliopsida; Alismatales; Zosteraceae. The record is from RNAcentral.